GAUGAACGCUAGCGGCAGGCUUAACACAUGCAAGUCGAGGGGCAGCGCGGGAUAGCAAUAUCCUGGCGGCGACCGGCGGAAGGGUGCGUAACGCGUGAGCGACAUGCCCGUUGCCCGGGGACAACCGGUGGAAACGCCGACUAAUCCCCGAUGGGAUAUUGUGCCGCAUGGCACGAUAUUGAAAGGUACGGCGGCGACGGAUUGGCUCGCGUCCGAUUAGCUUGUUGGCGGGGUAACGGCCCACCAAGGCUGCGAUCGGUAGGGGUUCUGAGAGGAAGGCCCCCCACAAUGGGACUGAGACACGGCCCAUACUCCUACGGGAGGCAGCAGUGAGGAAUAUUGGUCAAUGGGCGGAAGCCUGAACCAGCCAUGCCGCGUGCGGGAAGGAGGCCCUAUGGGCUGUGAACCGCUUUUGCCUGGGGGCAAUAAGGGCGUCGCGCACGUCCGAUGAGAGUACCAGGCGAAUAAGCAUCGGCUAACUCCGUG
Molecule: ribosomal RNA, 486 nt
Filed under: uncultured bacterium
Lineage: Bacteria
Description: partial 16S ribosomal RNA
Rfam family: Bacterial small subunit ribosomal RNA
Source: RNAcentral